Xyrichtys novacula (pearly razorfish) is the source of this 1064-nucleotide non-coding RNA. NCBI's taxonomy places the organism in Eukaryota, Metazoa, Chordata, Actinopteri, Labriformes, Labridae. The record is from the annotation of a GenBank genome assembly.
GUUAGGGUUAGGGUUAGGGUUGGAGCUAGGGUUAGGGUUAGGGUUAGGGUUGGAGCUAGGGUUAGGGUUAGGGUUAGGGUUGGAGCUAGGGUUAGAGUUAGGGUUAGGGUUGGAGCUAGUGUUAGGGUUAGGGUUAGGGUUGGAGCUAGGGUUAGGGUUAGGGUUAGGGUUGGAGCUAGGGUUAGGGUUAGGGUUGGAGCUAGGGUUAGGGUUAGGGUUAGGGUUGGAGCUAGAGUUAGGGUUGCAGCUAGGGUUAGGGUUAGGGUUAGGGUUGGAGCUAGGGUUAGGGUUAGGGUUAGGGUUGGAGCUAGGGUUAGGGUUAGGGUUAGGGUUGGAGCUAGGGUUACGGUUAGGGUUAGAGUUAGGGUUGGAGCUAGGGUUAGGGUUGGAGCUAGGGUUAGGGUUAGGGUUGGAGCUAGGGUUAGGGUUAGGGUUAGGGUUGGAGCUAGGGUCAGGGUUAGGGAUGGAGCUAGGGUUAGGGUUAGGGUUAGGGUUGGAGCUAGGGUUAGGGUUAGGGUUAGGGUUGGAGCCAGGGUUAGGGUUAGGGUUGGAGCUAGGGUUACGGUUAGGGUUAGGGUUGGAGCUAGGGUUGGAGCUAGGGUUAGGGUUAGGGUUAGGGUUGGAGCUAGGGUUAGGGUUAGGGUUAGGGUUGGAGCUAGGGUUACGGUUAGGGUUAGAGUUAGGGUUGGAGCUAGGGUUAGGGUUGGAGCUAGGGUUAGGGUUAGGGUUGGAGCUAGGGUUAGGGUUAGGGUUGGAGCUAGGGUCAGGGUUAGGGAUGGAGCUAGGGUUAGGGUUAGGGUUAGGGUUGGAGCUACGGUUAGGGUUAGGGUUAGGGUUGGAGCUAGGUUUAGGGUUAGGGUUGGAGCUAGGGUUAGAGCUAGGGUUAGGGUUAGGGUUGGAGCUAGGGUUAGGGUAAGGGUUAGGGUUGGAGCUAGGGUUAGGGUUAGGGUUAGGGUUGGAGCUAGGGUUAAGUUUAGGUUGGAGCUAGGGUUAGGGUUAGGGUUGGAGCUAGGGUUAGGGUUAGGGUUAGGGUUGGAACUAGGGUUAAAGUUAGGGUUAGGGUU